This 721-nucleotide long non-coding RNA is filed under the name Setaria viridis. RNAcentral describes it as "long non-coding RNA (SVIR_LNC006442)". The record is from RNAcentral. Lineage: Eukaryota; Viridiplantae; Streptophyta; Magnoliopsida; Poales; Poaceae.
AGAAAAUAAGAUUUUACCCAUUGAGCUCCGAACAGAGAACGCGAACGGAAAAUAGAAGGGAUGAGUAUUUUCAUGAAAUUUGGAUAUGGCUCGGCAGAAGUAUACUGGAGGAUGAUGUGGUCGAAUUUGGGAUUAAUUGGAGGGAGUUUGGCGCAUGAAAUGACGAGUUAACGGAGUAUUAGGGGCUUAAAAGAAGGUUUAGGACUAAACCGUGAGAAACCAGGGACCUAUUUGUAAAUAUUUUUGGGAGGUGGAGGGGCACAUCCGCGAGAAACUCCUGAGAGUGGUGUGUGGACUGGUUUGUGAAUAUAGGAAAGGAGGGGGUUAGAUCGGAAUUGGGGGAAAUUUACCCCUUCUUCUUUCCUGGGCCGGUCAGGGAGUUGGGGAGGAGAGAGAGGGCCAGCGGCGGUCGGCCGGCCAAGCCUUGCCGGCGGCGAUCCGAGGGGCGGGGGAGGUAGAGGAAGGUGAGGGGGUUUCGUUUCGCCCCUUACCUUGGGGGUUUGGUGAUGGAAGGGAGGACGGCCGUGGUGUAUUUUUUUUCGAUUUUGCAGAAAUAUAUAGUCGAAUAAAAAAUUUGCAAAAAUGGGCUUAUACCGCCGGUUGAAAUGGCGGUUAGGCGAAACGCCCCAACGGUCGCCCACCGGAUAAGCCUCUGCGCAGCACCAGAGGAAGCUCCGCUGUUUGAACCGGCGGUAAGGCCCUUACCGCCAGACGGUAAGGC